This 323-nucleotide long non-coding RNA is filed under the name Elaeis guineensis (African oil palm). RNAcentral's name for it is "long non-coding RNA (EGUI_LNC040659)". Lineage: Eukaryota; Viridiplantae; Streptophyta; Magnoliopsida; Arecales; Arecaceae. The record is from RNAcentral.
UAGUUGUCAUGAUGCUAUUCAAUCCCUUGCAUGGUACUCGAAAGAAAGACAGUUGGCAAACCUCUUCCUCAAGCAUAGGUAUGUUAAUCACCAUCAAAGACAUCACUUAUUUCAAUUCAUGCACUUGCUCUUCCUCUGAUUCAAUGCCAAGAAAGGUCAUCAUCAUUAUAAUUUGUUAUUGCAGAUUAUUUGUCAUGUUAAUCAUACUUUUAGUUUGCUAACUUAAUGCACUCAUCUUUGAAAAAUUUCAAGCUUUUGAAUCUUGCAUGCAUGCGAGCAGGCACUUGGAGCACCUCCUUCUUAAUGGAUUUGAUCCUUAUUAG